RNAcentral lists this ribosomal RNA (429 nucleotides) under Bacteroidota bacterium. RNAcentral's name for it is "Bacteroidetes bacterium partial 16S ribosomal RNA". It matches the Rfam family "Bacterial small subunit ribosomal RNA", at positions 355 to 776 of the family's 1533-position model. Lineage: Bacteria; Pseudomonadati; Bacteroidota. The record is from RNAcentral.
UAGGGAAUCUUCCGCAAUGGACGCAAGUCCGACGGAGCAACGCCGCGUGAGUGAAGAAGGAUUUCGGUUCGUAAAACUCUGUUGUUAGAGAAGAACAGCGCAUAGAGUAACUGUUAUGCGUGUGACGGUAUCUAACCAGAAAGCCACGGCUAACUACGUGCCAACAGCCGCGGUAAUACGUAGGUGGCAAGCGUUGUCCGGAUUUAUUGGGCGUAAAGCGAGCGCAGGCGGUCAAUUAAGUCUGAUGUGAAAGCCCCCGGCUCAACCGGGGAGGGUCAUUGGAAACUGGUUGACUUGAGUGCAGAAGAGGAGAGUGGAAUUCCAUGUGUAGCGGUGAAAUGCGUAGAUAUAUGGAGGAACACCAGUGGCGAAGGCGACUCUCUGGUCUGUAACUGACGCUGAGGUUCGAAAGCGUGGGUAGCAAACAGG